CUCUGCAUUCACUCUUUGGCUGUUCAGCUACUUGCAAAAGAAAGGUGCAACAUGCCAGACAGAAGUAACUUGUAUUUAAAGAUUAAAAUCUGCUGCCAAUCAGAAUAAUUAUGCUUCAAUUGGAUCAUCUUUACCAUCUGAACUGGACCAUCUGCAAGACAAAGAAUGGUUUGUAGAAAGAACUGCACAGAUGAAAUAAAAUGAAAACCAGCAUCCUUAAAAGUAUAUCUUCUGAAAAGUCAGAUGCCAGUGCAGCUAAUUUGCUCAAGCCAAGAAGUGUUUUCUUCUUUGCAAAAUAUCGAGUCUCCAUGUUUGCUAAAGUCUGCAAGGUCCUGUGAGCCUAAAAUGUAUAAAGAUGUUAGAAACCAGUUUUAGAAUUUAACAUCAGAAGAUUAACAGAUAAAGAUUUAAUCUGAACUGCA
Apus apus (common swift) is the source of this 422-nucleotide long non-coding RNA. RefSeq lists it as uncharacterized. NCBI's taxonomy places the organism in Eukaryota, Metazoa, Chordata, Aves, Apodiformes, Apodidae. The record is from RefSeq and is a predicted model, not a curated record. The transcript is spliced from 3 exons.